AUUUUAUUAACGUUAUAACACACACAUAUUACCACACUUUACCGGGGUGCUUUAAUUAUUGAUUAAAGUCGGUUAGAGCGAAUAUGUGGAGGCAUAAC
Molecule: small RNA, 98 nt
Filed under: Frischella perrara
Lineage: Bacteria; Pseudomonadati; Pseudomonadota; Gammaproteobacteria; Orbales; Orbaceae
Description: t44 RNA
Rfam family: t44 RNA
About the family: This family consists of a number of bacterial RNA genes of between 135 and 170 bases in length. The t44 gene is found between the map and rpsB genes in all species in the full alignment apart from Shigella flexneri.
Source: Rfam by way of RNAcentral